ACUCCUACGGGGAGGCAGCAGUGGGGAAUAUUGCACAAUGGGCGCAAGCCUGAUGCAGCCAUGCCGCGUGUAUGAAGAAGGCCUUCGGGUUGUAAAGUACUUUCAGCAGUGAGGAAGGUGGGGUAUGUUAAAUAGCAUACUCAUUUGACGUUAGCNGCAGAAAGAAAGCACCGGGNUAACUCCGUGCCAGCAGCCGCGGUAAUACGGAGGGUGCGAGCGUUAAAUCGGAAAUUACUGGGCGUAAAAGCGCAUGCAGGUGGUUUUGUUAAAGUCAGAUGUGAAAAGCCCGGGGGCUCAAACCUCGGGAAAAUUGCAUUUGAAAACUGGCAAAACUAGAGNACUGUAGAGGGGGGGUAGAAAUUUUCAGGUGUAGCGGUGAAAAUGCGU
Molecule: ribosomal RNA, 387 nt
Filed under: uncultured bacterium
Lineage: Bacteria
Description: bacterial SSU rRNA
Rfam family: Bacterial small subunit ribosomal RNA
Source: RNAcentral